GACGAACGCUGGCGGCGUGCCUAAUACAUGCAAGUCGAGCGGAGUUAUUCUUUCGGGGAUAGCUUAGCGGCGGACGGGUGAGUAACACGUAGGUAACCUGCCUGUAAGACCGGGAUAACAUUCGGAAACGAAUGCUAAUACCGGAUACGCGAUUUCCUCGCAUGGGGAGAUCGGGAAAGACGGAGCAAUCUGUCACUUGCAGAUGGACCUGCGGCGCAUUAGCUAGUUGGUGGGGUAACGGCUCACCAAGGCGACGAUGCGUAGCCGACCUGAGAGGGUGAUCGGCCACACUGGGACUGAGACACGGCCCAGACUCCUACGGGAGGCAGCAGUAGGGAAUCUUCCGCAAUGGACGAAAGUCUGACGGAGCAACGCCGCGUGAGUGAUGAAGGCUUUCGGGUCGUAAAGCUCUGUUGCCAGGGAAGAACACUUGGGAGAGUAACUGCUCUCAAGGUGACGGUACCUGAGAAGAAAGCCCCGGCUAACUACGUGCCAGCCGCCGCGGUAA
Molecule: ribosomal RNA, 508 nt
Filed under: uncultured bacterium
Lineage: Bacteria
Description: partial 16S ribosomal RNA
Rfam family: Bacterial small subunit ribosomal RNA
Source: RNAcentral